AAGUCGUAACAAGGUUUCCGUAGGUGAACCUGCGGAAGGAUCAUUACAAAUCCACCACGUCUCUCUCCUUUCGAGACCUCGUUGAACGUGUCACACACAGGAAGAGCGAGCAGGGGAAGAGAGAGAGAGAGAGAGAGAGAGAGGGCUGCCUGCGUAUGCGCGCGCAUGCUCUCUUGCUCUUGCUCUUGCUCUUGCUCUUGCUCCUGCUCCUCUCUUCCUUGAACUUUUCUAGUUUGAUAUCAUGUUGGUUGUCAGUAGUGUGUUAUACUCUUCUUCUCCUCCCCUUUUUCCUUUUUCCUUUUUCCUUUUUCUUCUUCUUGGCUUGCCUGACAAGCCAAGCAAGCAGCGAAAAUGAAAGAGAGAGAGAGAGACAAAGAGAGAGAGAAAGAGUGUGUACCAUGUAACAACUUAUAACAAUGGAUCUCUAGGCUCUU
Molecule: unclassified non-coding RNA, 434 nt
Filed under: fungal sp.
Lineage: Eukaryota; Fungi
Description: partial internal transcribed spacer region
Rfam family: Eukaryotic small subunit ribosomal RNA (bases 1-46)
Source: RNAcentral